RNAcentral lists this ribosomal RNA (755 nucleotides) under uncultured Acinetobacter sp. RNAcentral describes it as "bacterial SSU rRNA". It matches the Rfam family "Bacterial small subunit ribosomal RNA", at positions 32 to 781 of the family's 1533-position model. Lineage: Bacteria; Pseudomonadati; Pseudomonadota; Gammaproteobacteria; Moraxellales; Moraxellaceae. The record is from RNAcentral.
GACGCUGGCGGCAGGCUUAACACAUGCAAGUCGAGCGGGGUGAUGUAGCUUGCUACAUUACCUAGCGGCGGACGGGUGAGUAAUGCUUAGGAAUCUGCCUAUUAGUGGGGGACAACAUUCCGAAAGGGAUGCUAAUACCGCAUACGUCCUACGGGAGAAAGCAGGGGACCUUCGGGCCUUGCGCUAAUAGAUGAGCCUAAGUCGGAUUAGCUAGUUGGUGGGGUAAAGGCCUACCAAGGCGACGAUCUGUAGCGGGUCUGAGAGGAUGAUCCGCCACACUGGGACUGAGACACGGCCCAGACUCCUACGGGAGGCAGCAGUGGGGAAUAUUGGACAAUGGGGGGAACCCUGAUCCAGCCAUGCCGCGUGUGUGAAGAAGGCCUUAUGGUUGUAAAGCACUUUAAGCGAGGAGGAGGCUACCUAGAUUAAUACUCUAGGAUAGUGGACGUUACUCGCAGAAUAAGCACCGGCUAACUCUGUGCCAGCAGCCGCGGUAAUACAGAGGGUGCGAGCGUUAAUCGGAUUUACUGGGCGUAAAGCGUGCGUAGGUGGCUAAUUAAGUCAAAUGUGAAAUCCCCGAGCUUAACUUGGGAAUUGCAUUCGAUACUGGUUAGCUAGAGUAUGGGAGAGGAUGGUAGAAAUCCAGGUGUAGCGGUGAAAUGCGUAGAGAUCUGGAGGAAUACCGAUGGCGAAGGCAGCCAUCUGGCCUAAUACUGACACUGAGGUACGAAAGCAUGGGGAGCAAACAGGAUUAG